AUCUGAGACUAUAUAUGGAAUCACAGAGAAAUCUUGUUCACAGCUAUGUUUUUUCAUAAUUUUGUAUUGAGCUCAUGCCUUGUAUCUCACUAUCCACAAAAGUGCUAACUGUAUAUGCAUGUUUCAUAUAUCCAAAAAAUGAAUGGAUUUCUAGCCACUUAUGCUUGUCAAUUACUAUUUGUUUUUACAUUUUCAUGGAUUGCAUAAAGGCCUAUCUUUUUAACUCUUCUUCAAAUUUCAUAUCACUAAUGUGUUGUAUCCUGCUGUUUGCAUCCUCUCCAGUAAAACGUUUCAGUCCUCUCAUGGCUGACAUAUCGAGACCACUAGUAUUUUGAAAAGACCUCCAAAUGGUACUCCCUUUGGAUGUUCUUAGCAGCCAACCUCCAAAGAUCUCAAACUAGUUAAUAAUUGGGUUCCUAAAGUUACAUCUGGGAAUUGUUCCUAGUUCUUUCAAAGCAACCCAUAAUUUACUGAUCAAUGGCUUAACAACAAAGAGGAGAUAUGGGAAGGCUUUGUAGACUUUUUCCAAGCUGCUUUCUCUAAAGAGUUUGUGUCUAGGCCCUUGCUUACUGGGGUUCCUUCCGAUUCCAUUUCUGAGCAAGCAGAUGAGCUAGACCAUAACUCCAGUGAAGGUGAAGUUGCUGCCACCAUCUCUGAGGUCAACGGGCGUCAGGCCCCUGGACUUGAUGGAUUCCCAUUGCUCUAUCAGAUGUAAAUGGUGCAGCUGGAUCAAGGCUUGUAUUAUCACCCCUUGGUUCUCGGCCUGCUGAAUUGAACCCCGAAAUGAUUCUGGCUCAAUUCACAGAUGACAUUCUGCUAUUUGGGAAUGGCUUGUCGGAGGAUGUGCAUAGUCUUAUAGAGACAUCAACUUCGAGGCAGUGUCUGCUGUCCGGUUUGAAAGUGAAUCUGGUAAAAACUAAUAUCUCAGGAAUUAAUUUGGGCAGCUCCACCCUUAUAGAUAUUGUGUUAGAUGCUCGCUAUGGGGUUGUGGAGCUCGCCAUCAAGAGGUUGGGUAUGGGGUAGCUGAGCUUCCUAUCAAACAGGUGCAUGCCUGUGCUAUGGUAGAUGUGGGAUGGAAAUUUGGGAUAUUGUCAUUGAGAAGCUUAAUAGAACUUGGUACAUGGAACAACAAAUUCCUUCACCUUGGGUCACAGAGUAACCUGCAUCAUGUCAGUGUUGUGACUGUUGUCCUCCUCGACGUACCUUUUGUUCUUAAUCCAUUGCCUCCAGAAAGCUGCGGUUAGUAUUGAGAAGAUACAAAAGCAAUUCUUAUGGAAUGACCAGGAGGUUGCUCAUAAGUCUCAUCUGGUAGCUUGGGGAGACAUGUGCAAACCUUCCUGCCACGAGGGCCUUGGCUUUAGAAGCAUUAGACUGAUGAAUCUCUCUCUGUAAAGUGGGGAACUAUUUUUGCUUAGAAGCAUCCCGAUUGGUAAAUACAGUGCCUCUGACAAUAGUUGGAAUGUUGGGGUGGCAUCUAGGAGUGUGGGUUCUCAUAUCUGGUGAGAUAUCUCUUAGGCCAGGAUUUUUGCAUAAAUAACAUGCGUUUUGGGAUGUUUUUCAGCAUUUGAACCUGUUUUUGGGAGGGCGUGAUGAUUGCCCCCUCUUGGAGAGAGUAGAAGUUGAGAGAUUAAUGCUCUAUUAGAUUGAAAGAGUAGAGCAUGGACGUAUGCUUCAGAAAGAAGGAAAAGUGGUUUGGUGGCUAGCGGUUAUGGCUGUUCUAUGGGUCGUAUGGGGGGGAGUGUAACAGACGAUGCUUUGAGAAGGAGGAAUCAGAUUAUUGGGUUAUCCGAAGGGCAAAGUCCUUGGUGUUAGAUUGGGCUCCUGCGUUCUUCUCGCCUUGCUAGGAUUGUAGUUCUGUUUGUAUUCUUUUCUGGCCCUUUGGCCUGCUUUUUAAAUAAAAUUGUUAAUUCUCAAAAAAAAAAAAAAAAAAAAAAAGAGUAGAGGAAGGAGAAGAGGAGAAAAGAAAGAAAGAUGGGGAAAAGAAAUGUAUUAGGGCUACAGCCCCUUUCUUAUUCCUUUUAUAAGACUUCUAACAAAAUGACAAUAACACCCUAAAAUAUUAAAGUUACAUAUAAACCCUUAAAAUCUCAUGUCUCAACACUCCCCCUCAAGAUUGGCAUAUAUAUCUUUCUACUUGGUAUUACACUUGUAGCAGCAGAGAGAAGUUGACAUUUUUUGGUGACCGCUGCUGACGCUAGCAUGCUGUAUGGGCGACGUUAGCACCUGUGCUGAUGGGGUUUUGAGGCAAAAUACAUUCUUCCAAUAUAUCUACAUCUCAGCAGAACAUUGAUGAUUUUUUCAAGAUUUUUGGGGUAGUUUUGGGCACAGAUAUCUUUGUACUUGGUAUUACACUCGUAGCAGCAGAGAGAAGUUGACUUUUUUGGAGACCGUUGCUGAUGCUAGCAUGCUGUAUAUGUCUGACGUUGGCACCUGCACUGAUGGGGUUUUGAGGAAAAAGCACUCUACAUCUCAGCAGAACAUUGAUGAUUUUUUUCAAGAUUUUUGGGGUAGUUUUUGUUGGCAUAGAAAUCUUUGUACUUGGUAUUCCACUUAUAGCAGCAGAGAGAAGUCAACAUUUUUUGGGGACCGUUGCUGAUGCUAGCAUGCUGUAUGGCUGACGUUGGCACCUACUAAUGGGCUUUUGAGGAAAAAGUACAUUUUCCAAAAUAUCUACAUCUCAGCAGAACAUUGAUGAUUUUUUUUUUCAAGAUUUUUGGGGUAGUUUUAUUGGUUUCUGAAAUAGAGAAAAAUUCCAGAAAAAUCUGUUUUCAGUUUCUUGCUUUUACAGAUCAAAUUGGGAUUUUUUGCAGGCAUCAGCUGUUCAUAUAUGGUCUGUUUGAUAAUUUCAGACCUUUGGGAAGUGGAAUCGUGAAUAUUCAUUGAGUAUUGAAGAUUUGGUGAUGAUUUUUUUUCCCUCUAGUUUUACUGUUUAGGGGCUUUUUUCAACUU
Long non-coding RNA from Magnolia sinica, 2949 nucleotides. RefSeq lists it as uncharacterized. The transcript is spliced from 2 exons. Lineage: Eukaryota; Viridiplantae; Streptophyta; Magnoliopsida; Magnoliales; Magnoliaceae. The record is from RefSeq and is a predicted model, not a curated record.